AGAGGGAACGCUGCUCACGCCAACCGUCGAAAGAAAUCGAGCUUCAUCGGCGCAAAAAUUGUGUGGAGCGGCUUCACGUGACAAUCAAAUAAUGCAGUAAUGUCUCCCCACUGCAACAUGUUCAGUUAAUUUGUGUGAAACCAGUACAAUAGUGGUAAAACUGGAAAUUAUAAAAGAGCACCGUUGGCGUCCCUGCCAUGGGUGCAGCGUGUGUGUGGCUGAAGGUUGACGGCGUCUGAGGAAUAACUUUCCUGCCAUCACUCACUACCAACAAUAAUUGACUCAUUUUCUCCGCAUCCAGAGGAAAGACUUUUUCAAGUCGGCCGUCUCCCACCGAGGCAAACAUCUGCCAAGUACACAACACCUGUACCUCUCCCUGAGAACACCUGUAGCAAACAUCUGCCAAGUAGACAACACCUUCACUUCUCCCAGAACACCUGGAGGUUAUUCCGGGGAUCAACGCCCCCGUGGCCCGGUCCAUGACCAGGUCUCCCGAUGGAUCAGGGCCUGAUCAACUAGACUGUUACUGCUGGCCGCACGCAGUCCAACGUACGAGCCACAGCCCGGCUGAUCCGGCACUGACUUUAGGUAUCUGUCCAGCUCUCUCUUGAAGGCAGCCAGGGGUUUAUUGGCAAUUCCCCUAAUGCUUGAUGGGAGGCUGUUGAACAGUUUUGGGCCCCGGACACUUAUAGUGUUUUCCCUUAGUGUACCAAUGGCGCCCCUACUUUUUAUUGGGGGCAUUUUGCAUCGCCUGCCCAGUCUUUUACUUUCGUAGGGAGUGAUUUCUGUGUGCAGAUUUGGGGCCAUUCCCUCCAAGAUUUUCCAGGUGUAGAUUAUGAUAUAUCUCUCCCUCCUGCGUUCCAACGAGUACAAGUCAAGUGCAAAUAUCUGCCAAGUACACAACACCUGUACUUCUCCCUGAGAACACCUCUAGCAAACAUCUGCCAAGUACACAACACCUGUACCUCUCCCUGAGAACACCUGUAGCAAAUAUCUGCCAAGUACACAACACGUGUACUUCUCCCUGAGAACACUUGCGCAAAACAUCUGCCAAUGACACGACACCUGUACCUCUCCCUGAGAGCACUUGUGGCAAACAUCUGCUAAGUACAAAACACCUGUACCUCUCUCAGAACACUUGUGGCAAACCUGCUAAGUACACAACACCUGUACCUCCCAGAGAACACCUGUGGCAAACAUCUGCCAAGUACACAAUACCUGUACCUCUCCCAGAGAACACCUCUAGCAAACAUCUGCCAAGUACACAACACCUGUACCUCUCCCAGAGAACACCUCUAGCAAACAUCUACCAAGUACA
This is a long non-coding RNA of Cherax quadricarinatus, 1318 nucleotides long. RefSeq lists it as uncharacterized. The record is from RefSeq and is a predicted model, not a curated record. NCBI's taxonomy places the organism in Eukaryota, Metazoa, Arthropoda, Malacostraca, Decapoda, Parastacidae.